This 406-nucleotide ribosomal RNA is filed under the name uncultured bacterium. RNAcentral's name for it is "partial 16S ribosomal RNA". It matches the Rfam family "Bacterial small subunit ribosomal RNA", at positions 30 to 526 of the family's 1533-position model. The record is from RNAcentral.
AUUGAACGCUGGCGGCAGGCUUAACACAUGCAAGUCGAGCGAGCGGCGGACGGGUGAGUAAUAUCUGGGAACGUGCCUGAUGGAGGGGGAUAACUACUGGAAACGGUAGCUAAUACCGCAUACCAUCAGAUCUGCCCAGAUGGGAUUAGCUAGUAGGGGGGGUAAUGGCUCACCUAGGCGACGAUCCGUAGCUGGUCUGAGAGGAUGACCAGCCACACUGGGACUGAGACACGGUCCAGACUCCUACGGGAGGCAGCAGUGGGGAAUAUUGCACAAUGGGCGCAACCCUGAUGCAGCCAUGCCGCGUGUGUGAUGAAGGCCUUCGGGUUGUAAAGUACUUUUGGCAGGGAGGCGUUACUCGCAGAAGAAGCACCGGCUAACUCCGUGCCAGCAGCCGCGGUAAUUC